AUCUAGCUGACGAGUUCAAAGUAAAACAAAAUGCGCAUCCUUGAU
This 45-nucleotide non-coding RNA is filed under the name Schistosoma haematobium. The record is from RNAcentral. Lineage: Eukaryota; Metazoa; Platyhelminthes; Trematoda; Strigeidida; Schistosomatidae.